RNAcentral lists this ribosomal RNA (492 nucleotides) under uncultured bacterium. Its description in RNAcentral is "partial 16S ribosomal RNA". It matches the Rfam family "Bacterial small subunit ribosomal RNA", at positions 29 to 507 of the family's 1533-position model. The record is from RNAcentral.
AGUGAACGCUGGCGGUAGGCCUAACACAUGCAGGUCGAACGGCAGCACAGUAAGAGCUUGCUCUUACGGGUGGCGAGUGGCGGACGGGCGAGGAAUACAUCGGAAUCUACUUUUUCGUGGGGGAUAACGUAGGGAAACUUACGCUAAUACCGCAUACGACCUACGGGUGAAAGCAGGGGAUCUUCGGACCUUGCGCGAUUGAAUGAGCCGAUGUCGGAUUAGCUAGUUGGCGGGGUAAAGGCCCACCAAGGCGACGAUCCGUAGCUGGUCUGGGAGGAUGAUCAGCCACACUGGAACUGAGACACGGUCCAGACUCCUACGGGAGGCAGCAGUGGGGAAUAUUGGACAAUGGGCGCAAGCCUGAUCCAGCCAUACCGCGUGGGUGAAGAAGGCCUUCGGGUUGUAAAGCCCUUUUGUUGGGAAAGAAAAGCAGCAGGUUAAUACCCCGCUGUUCCGACGGUACCCAAAGAAUAAGCACCGGCUAACUUCGUG